GCUGCUGUAGCUCAGUUGGUAGAGCGCGUCCUUGGUAAGGACGAGGUCACGAGUUCAAGUCUCGUCAGCAGCUC
RNAcentral lists this transfer RNA (74 nucleotides) under Posidoniimonas corsicana. Its description in RNAcentral is "Planctomycetes bacterium KOR34 tRNA-Thr". It matches the Rfam family "tRNA". From Rfam's summary of the family: Transfer RNA (tRNA) molecules are approximately 80 nucleotides in length. Their secondary structure includes four short double-helical elements and three loops (D, anti-codon, and T loops). The record is from RNAcentral. RNAcentral also lists the same sequence under 5 other names. Lineage: Bacteria; Pseudomonadati; Planctomycetota; Planctomycetia; Pirellulales; Lacipirellulaceae.